This 22-nucleotide microRNA is filed under the name Homo sapiens (human). RNAcentral's name for it is "hsa-miR-4421". Lineage: Eukaryota; Metazoa; Chordata; Mammalia; Primates; Hominidae. The record is from miRBase by way of RNAcentral.
ACCUGUCUGUGGAAAGGAGCUA